RNAcentral lists this ribosomal RNA (480 nucleotides) under uncultured Entrophospora. Its description in RNAcentral is "SSU rRNA". It matches the Rfam family "Eukaryotic small subunit ribosomal RNA", at positions 569 to 1046 of the family's 1831-position model. The record is from RNAcentral. Lineage: Eukaryota; Fungi; Glomeromycota; Glomeromycetes; Entrophosporales; Entrophosporaceae.
AGCAGCCGCGGUAAUUCCAGCUCCAAUAGCGUAUAUUAAAGUUGUUGCAGUUAAAAAGCUCGUAGUUGAAUUUCGGGAUUGACGUGAUGGUCAUGCCUUAAGGGGUAUGAACUGUUACAGUUGAUUUCUCACCUUCUGGAGAAACUUGAUGUCCUUUAUUGGGUGUCUUGCGGAUCCAGGACCUUUACCUUGAAAAGAUUAGAGUGUUUAAAGCAGGCAUUUUUGCUCGAAUACAUUAGCAUGGAAUAAUAGAAUAGGACGGCAUGGUUCUAUUUUGUUGGUUUCUAGGAUCACCGUAAUGAUUAAUAGGGAUAGUUGGGGGCAUUAGUAUUCAAUUGUCAGAGGUGAAAUUCUUGGAUUUAUUGAAGACUAACUACUGCGAAAGCAUUUGCCAAGGAUGUUUUCAUUAAUCAAGAACGAAAGUUAGGGGAUCGAAGACGAUCAGAUACCGUCGUAGUCUUAACCAUAAACUAUGCCGAC